CCACGGUCAGGUCAGCGACUGGGGUGAAGUCGUAACAAGGUAGCCGUAGGGGAACCUGCGGCUGGAUCACCUCCUUUCUAAGG
Molecule: ribosomal RNA, 83 nt
Filed under: Azospirillum brasilense
Lineage: Bacteria; Pseudomonadati; Pseudomonadota; Alphaproteobacteria; Rhodospirillales; Azospirillaceae
Description: partial 16S ribosomal RNA
Rfam family: Bacterial small subunit ribosomal RNA
Source: RNAcentral